ACCCCGGUUCUUUUAAGAACCAUCAAAUACUAAAAAAAAUAUAUCU
This 46-nucleotide non-coding RNA is filed under the name Paramuricea clavata. It matches the Rfam family "Histone 3' UTR stem-loop". From Rfam's summary of the family: The mRNAs of metazoan histone genes lack a poly-A tail. 3' end processing occurs at a site between a highly conserved stem-loop (modelled by this family) and a purine rich region around 20 nts downstream (the histone downstream element, or HDE). The record is from RNAcentral. Lineage: Eukaryota; Metazoa; Cnidaria; Anthozoa; Malacalcyonacea; Plexauridae.